UCUCUAUUUCCGAAAUCAAACCAACCGAAAACAAACCGAAACCACUUUGUCGCCGGGAACUACGAACGCCGCGAACCACCGUCCACCACCACCUCUCGCCGCCGGAGUUCACCACCACCGGUCCACCUUCUCCGGCCACCACCUCCGACCGUCUCCGACCAUCCGGGUAAUUCUCUUGUGCACCCUCUUGGGAAAUCCUUGAUUCUUAAUCUUAUUCCAAGAAAUACGCAACGCACUCUAAGGAUGAGGAAUCAAGAUUUGAAGAAAUAAAUAGGAUGGCUUAGAAACCCACCUUUGAAAUAAUCUAUGUUUGAUGUUUGUUAUUUCCUUUUAUGACAAUUUUGUACGUCUCAUCCCGAUGUUUCCGCCAUCGGUUGGGGUGUGA
RNAcentral lists this long non-coding RNA (385 nucleotides) under Helianthus annuus (common sunflower). RNAcentral describes it as "sRNA HanXRQr2_Chr11g0485271". The record is from RNAcentral. Lineage: Eukaryota; Viridiplantae; Streptophyta; Magnoliopsida; Asterales; Asteraceae.